UGAGGAAUAUUGGUCAAUGGGCGAGAGCCUGAACCAGCCAAGUAGCGUGAAGGAUGACUGCCCUAUGGGUUGUAAACUUCUUUUAUAAAGGAAUAAAGUCGGGUAUGGAUACCCGUUUGCAUGUACUUUAUGAAUAAGGAUCGGCUAACUCCGUGCCAGCAGCCGCGGUAAUACGGAGGAUCCGAGCGUUAUCCGGAUUUAUUGGGUUUAAAGGGAGCGUAGAUGGAUGUUUAAGUCAGUUGUGAAAGUUUGCGGCUCAACCGUAAAAUUGCAGUUGAUACUGGAUAUCUUGAGUGCAGUUGAGGCAGGCGGAAUUCGUGGUGUAGCGGUGAAAUGCUUAGAUAUCACGAAGAACUCCGAUUGCGAAGGCAGCCUGCUAAGCUGCAACUGACAUUGAGGCUCGAAAGUGUGGGUAUCAAACAGGAUUAGAUACCCUGGUAGUCCACACGGUAAACGAUGAAUACUCGCUGUUUGCGAUAUACAGCAAGCGGCCAAGCGAAAGCGUUAAGUAUUCCACCUGGGGAGUACGCCGGCAACGGUGAAACUCAAAGGAAUUGACGGGGGCCCGCACAAGCGGAGGAACAUGUGGUUUAAUUCGAUGAUACGCGAGGAACCUUACCCGGGCUUAAAUUGCAGAUGAAUUACGGUGAAAGCCGUAAGCCGCAAGGCAUCUGUGAAGGUGCUGCAUGGUUGUCGUCAGCUCGUGCCGUGAGGUGUCGGCUUAAGUGCCAUAACGAGCGCAACCCUUGUUGUCAGUUACUAACAGGUUCCGCUGAGGACUCUGACAAGACUGCCAUCGUAAGAUGUGAGGAAGGUGGGGAUGACGUCAAAUCAGCACGGCCCUUACGUCCGGGGCUACACACGUGUUACAAUGGAGGGUACAGAGGGCCGCUACCACGCGAGUGGAUGCCAAUCCCAAAAACCUCUCUCAGUUCGGACUGGAGUCUGCAACCCGACUCCACGAAGCUGGAUUCGCUAGUAAUCGCGCAUCAGCCACGGCGCGGUGAAUACGUUCCC
RNAcentral lists this ribosomal RNA (1017 nucleotides) under uncultured organism. RNAcentral's name for it is "bacterial SSU rRNA". It matches the Rfam family "Bacterial small subunit ribosomal RNA", at positions 355 to 1375 of the family's 1533-position model. The record is from RNAcentral.